ACGAACGCUGGCGGCGUGCUUAACACAUGCAAGUCGAACGGUGAUGCUCCAGCUUGCUGGAGUGGAUCAGUGGCGAACGGGUGAGUAACACGUGUGCAACCUGCCCCAGACUCUGGAAUAAGCGCUGGAAACGGCGUCUAAUACUGGAUACGAAACUGGCCCGCAUGGGCAUGGUUUGGAAAGUUUUUCGGUUUGGGAUGGGCUCGCGGCCUAUCAGCUUGUUGGUGAGGUAAUGGCUCACCAAGGCGACGACGGGUAGCCGGCCUGAGAGGGCGACCGGCCACACUGGGACUGAGACACGGCCCAGACUCCUACGGGAGGCAGCAGUGGGGAAUAUUGCACAAUGGGCGAAAGCCUGAUGCAGCGACGCCGCGUGAGGGAUGACGGCCUUCGGGUUGUAAACCUCUUUCAGCAGGGAAGAAGCGAAAGUGACGGUACCUGCAGAAGAAGCACCGGCUAACUACGUG
RNAcentral lists this ribosomal RNA (467 nucleotides) under uncultured bacterium. Its description in RNAcentral is "partial 16S ribosomal RNA". It matches the Rfam family "Bacterial small subunit ribosomal RNA", at positions 29 to 507 of the family's 1533-position model. The record is from RNAcentral.